GUACGAGAGAGAAGAAAGAACUGAAAGAGGUGUACAAACAGAGAAAGAAUGAGAGACGUGUCGACAAACACACACACGCAGAGAUAAACACACACACACACACACACACACACACACAACACAACACAACACAACACACGCACACAAACUUAAGUCCUAUGACAGGGACAGUCCCGAACCAAGGACCAGGUACAGGGUAAUUGAACAUCGUAGACUGUGUGAACAAGGUGAGAGUAUUUGAGUUUGAGAAAGUUUCUAAAAGAGAUGGGGCUGGGGAAAGUUUCAGGAUUAACCUCUUUACAAACAAUAUUCCAUGGUUUAACUAUACGGUCAAAAUACGAUGAUUUAAAAUGGUGAUUUUUAAUGGUGUUUGUCUCCCGGUAAAGAACUGAAAAAUUCUAAUGUAUGCUGACGAUAUCGUUUUGUGUUAUGCUCACAAAGAUGUUAAAACCAUAAAACAAAAGCUAACUAAAGACAUGUCACAUGUAUCGGAG
Molecule: non-coding RNA, 494 nt
Organism: Paramuricea clavata
Lineage: Eukaryota; Metazoa; Cnidaria; Anthozoa; Malacalcyonacea; Plexauridae
Source: the annotation of a GenBank genome assembly